This 304-nucleotide ribosomal RNA is filed under the name uncultured Glomus. RNAcentral describes it as "SSU rRNA". It matches the Rfam family "Eukaryotic small subunit ribosomal RNA", at positions 792 to 1092 of the family's 1831-position model. Lineage: Eukaryota; Fungi; Glomeromycota; Glomeromycetes; Glomerales; Glomeraceae. The record is from RNAcentral.
CGCUUGAAUACAUUAGCAUGGAAUAAUGAAUAGGACGUUCGAUCCUAUUUUGUUGGUUUCUAGGAUUGACGUAAUGAUUAAUAGGGAUAUUGGGGGCAUUAGUAUUCAAUUGUCAGAGGUGAAGUUCUUUGGAUUUAUUGAAGACUAACUACUGCGAAAGCAUUUGCCAAGGAUGUUUUCAUUAAUCAAGAACGAAAGUUAGGGGAUCGAAGACGAUCAGAUACCGUCGUAGUCUUAACCAUAAACUAUGCCGACUAGGGAUCGGAUGAUGUUAAUUUUUUAAUGACUCAUUCGGCGCCUUACG